RNAcentral lists this long non-coding RNA (1265 nucleotides) under Sus scrofa (pig). RNAcentral describes it as "lncRNA (ENSSSCG00005045465.1)". Lineage: Eukaryota; Metazoa; Chordata; Mammalia; Artiodactyla; Suidae. The record is from RNAcentral.
AAAGUCUGAGAUUCCAGGGGACGGGAGGGGGCAUCACUCCCACCCAGGCCCUGAGACGGACCAAGAUAAGGGAGUGAGGAGUUCCUGUUGUGGCUCAGUGGUUAACAAAUCCAACUAGGAACCACGAGGUUGCGGGUUCGAUCCCUGGCCUUGCUCAGUGGGUUAAGGAUCCAGUGUUGCCAUGAGCUGUGGUGUUGGUUGCAGACGCGGCUUGGAUCCCGCGUUGCUGUGGCUCUGGUGUAGGCCACUGGCUACAGUUCCGAUUGGACCCCUAGCCUGGGAACCUCCAUAUGUCAUGGGAGCUGCCGAAAGAAAUAGCAAAAAAAAAAAAAAAAAAAAAAAGAUAAGGGAGUGAGACCAGGGAGAAGGCCAUUCCUACGGAAAAUGUAAUAAAUUUUAUUACACCGAUAAAUAAACAGAAGACAAUAAGAUUAAAAGGAAAGGAAACAAAAGAAGAUACUGGAAGAAAGGGAAGAGAAGGAAGGAAGGGAGGGAGGGUGGAAGGCGUGGGACCCUCCCGGCACUCCCCUGGCAUAUAAGGGACAGGACCCCAGAAUGGACACACCUGCCCUGCGUGUCUCGGGCACCUUCCUCAGUCACCGAGACGUCCGUGUCAGAUUUGCAGAACAACAAGCCUUCCUCUUUGAUACCAUCACUCAGUCACCAUUUGGAGAAGAAACUCAGAGGAUGGAAGCAGGAGACCAGCCCGGGGGCCACACCCAUUUAGACCAGGGAGGGACAGAGCCUCUCUCCGUCCUCUCUGGGCCCAGGGCUUAGACCUGACAUGGGAUGUUCAAAGUGAAGAGCAAAAGGGGUCGGUGGGGACUUUGCUUGGAAGGCAGGUGUGCCUGGAUUGGCUGGCGAAAUGGGUAUUAAGCGUGAGAAAAAAAGGAAUGCUUGCCAGAUACCUAGACUAAGCGACGGGUAACAGCUUUGUCAGGAAUUGGGGGUAGAGAGGAAGGGGCGGCUGGAGCAAGGGAGCAAGAGUUUGGGUUUAGACACAUUUCUAUUGACUUUCCUGUUAGACGUGCCGGUGGGGAGUGGAAGACACAGGUGGACGUGUUGGUCUUGAGGUCUGGGCUGGAGACAUGGUUGUGUGGGGACAGGACCAGGUGAUGGUCGGAGCCGUGGGAAUAGAGAACUGCCAGGCUUCUUCCCAGGGCUUCCACGGGGACUGUUCACGACACCUCCCAUCAGGUUUAUGGUUCUACUUACGCCUGUCAGGGUCUCCCACCUAGACUGGGAAGCUCUGGACAGUAGCGCAU